ACUCGAGCGAAACGAGAGAACGUUGCCGCAGGCAACGGCCCGAAGGGCGAGGCGCUUUAGCGCCGAGUAAUCCUUCCCCCACCACCA
Molecule: small RNA, 87 nt
Filed under: Klebsiella pneumoniae
Lineage: Bacteria; Pseudomonadati; Pseudomonadota; Gammaproteobacteria; Enterobacterales; Enterobacteriaceae
Description: partial RtT sRNA
Rfam family: RtT RNA
About the family: This family represents a bacterial cis-regulatory element known as RtT RNA. The exact function of RtT is unknown although it is thought that it may be involved in changing the cellular response in relation to amino acid starvation.
Source: RNAcentral